GUGGCAGUGAGCCGAAAGGUUGCAAAGUGACAGUUGCCUUGCUGGUUCGAACAACAACAACAACAACAAAAAAAGAGAGAGAAACAAAAGCCUCAACGUCUUUCAUUUCACGAACCAACAGUGAAGAGAAUAGAAGGGGGGGAAAAAGGGCCACCAGUCGAGCCAUAAAUUUCAUAAUUUCCCGAAUCGGAAGGGGCAACGAUGGAGUGACAUGAUUGUCUGGCCGAGAGAUUUAACUCGGCGUUUCCUUUUGCGUGUUAAAAGAGAGAGAGAGACGAAAAUAAAAGAAGGAAAUGCAUAGACGUUGUAGCAAGCAUUUCUUUUCUCUAUUUGUUCUUCUCUGUAUUCUAUACAGAGAAAGAAAAGUCAAGUCAGUUUAGCGGUGGCGACAGCAUCGCUCUCUUUCUAGAACCGCCUUCUUCUCGUCUGUGUGUGUUUCUAUAUGCCAACGAAUUUCAAUUAGCGGUCGACAAUGUUAUUUAUAACCCAUUCCGCAACCGAGAGACAAUCAAAAAGGGCAAACUUCUGAUGGAUGAUGGAUUGCGCCAUAUCCUCUCUACAGUGUGGGUUAUUUUGACACGGGCAAGGCGAUUUGUAUCUGCGCAAUCCGGAUUCUCGAAGGAAACGUUUCGUUUCACAAACUUCACAACAGACGUCCAAAGAUUUGUGAACUCUUUUGCUUUUGUUUCUAUUUUAACGAUCGAGUUGAAACUGUUUUGCAUCUCAUGACACUUUACAGUCUCUCUCUCUCCCUCCUCCUUUUUUAUUACCGUAGUCAUCUCAAAUUUCUGUCUUUUAAAACACAAUUUUUUGUUUUGUUUUUCAAUUCAAAUGAAAAGAAAAAUGUUUGAAUUCAAAAGCAACAAACGAUGCAGAACAAUUCACGGUUAUGUGAGUCGACCAUCGACACUCGAUGGCCGUCUAGGAGACGACUUGUAUAACGACUGGCUAUCGAGAGCCAAAUAAUGGCACACAUUAACCAGUGUCACCGAAAAGCACCGGCAUCGAUCAAAAAAGACGGUGAUAUGUAAAUUUGACCGAGGCGAUGGUGGUUGAAAGAAAACGGGGAAGAAGAAGAAGAGAAGAAAAGGAGUAGCUGACAAGCCAUGAACAAAAAGGAAGAGAAGAAAAAGAACCGCAAUUUUAUACUUUGUUACACCGAUAGUCUGGAGAAACAAAAAAGAAAGAAAAAGAAAAAGAAAAAGAAAACUAACCGAACAGGUGUGUGCGUGUAUGUUACAGAGGACCAGCGCCUGUAGUUCGGCCAUAUCCCGACGUAAAAAUGGCCAACGCAUCAAAGACUUUUCGAUGCAUUGACAGAUGGAUUUAUGGACAGAUGGGGAUAUACUUAUAUUAUAUAAACAUUGUAAGAAAUAAAAAAAACAAAAAACAAAAAAUAAUAAUAAAACAAAAAAGUCUGGGGCUUUGGCUGAAUUUCAAUAGAUCCAAAAUGGCGUCGAACAGGGACCUCAACUCGCAUUUGCAUAAUGACUGGACAUUGAACAAGGACGCGCUAGAGGUUUUAAACAAAUAAAAUAAAGAAAAAGGUGUCUCUUGGCAACUCAAUAUUUAUUAUGAUGGUCAUCUUCUUCUUAUAUAUUUUCUUUCCUUGUUAUUUUUCCUUUAAUAGUUUCCUAUCGUUCCCCACUUUUCUUGCCCAUCUUGUCCCCCUUUUGUUUUUCUUUUCCCAAAAAAAAAAGUUUUUUCUUCUUUCUUUUGUUUUUUUUUUAAGGUUUGGCUGUUGCGUCUUAAAUAAUGGGAAAGGAAUUGUAUAUUAAAAUCAAGGGGAUAUUGUCAACCGGUUUAGGGGAACUGUCAGAUCACACUCGCACACCUUGAUUAAUGUAAUGGAGUCGGCUCGCGCGGCACUCGCCCUACGGAGAACAGCGUCCG
Molecule: long non-coding RNA, 1893 nt
Organism: Daphnia magna
Lineage: Eukaryota; Metazoa; Arthropoda; Branchiopoda; Diplostraca; Daphniidae
Exons: 3
Source: RefSeq, a predicted model, not a curated record